This is a long non-coding RNA of Esox lucius (northern pike), 1148 nucleotides long. The record is from Ensembl. NCBI's taxonomy places the organism in Eukaryota, Metazoa, Chordata, Actinopteri, Esociformes, Esocidae.
CCGCCUAGUGGCGGCCCCUUUUUCUAUCUCAGUCAUAGCCUGGGCAGACACGGCUCGGGCGGCUACUGCCCUCCAAUCCCCCAGUGCCAACAUUUGACCAGCUGUGAGUUUAUCAAAUUGUGACAACCAUAGUCCACCUCCCUGUCCCAUCGGGGGUAAUUUAUCUACCAGUGCCUGUACGUCUCCCAGCCCCAAUGGUUUAUAUCGCGGUUCGCCGCCUCCCACUCUAAAGAGAGGCAGCUGAAACCCAGCACAACCAGCUUCCCCUGCUUGUGACCGUGUAUACAUUUUAUUUUGAGUCUUUUGAAUUGAUUCUACUGCGUCAUGGUGUAGUUUAUGUUCUGGUGGGGGCGUACGCGGCAGAGAGUAUACGUCUGCGUCUCCCUUACUCCCAUCUCCACUAAUGUCUGCGUCAGGGUCUUCGUCUGAGUCAGUCCAUCUCCCUACUGCUUGCCCCGUGAGUACCACCCGUCCUUUAUGUGAAUUUCCUUUUUUCUGCCUAGAUUUUGUCCUUCUCACUGUGUCACUAUCGUCCGAUCCCGACCUUGAGUCCUCACCUAACCUGCCUUUAGUACGGCCUGAUUUUUUCUUUUUGGCCCCUGUAAUCUCAUCCUGUUUAUUAUCUCCUAGUCGCCUCCUCUCCUCGUAUCUCCCAUACUCUCUCACUGCCCUUGCCUUGAACGGUUUCACCUCCUCCUCAGCAUCUGUCUCGCUCGCUGACUCCGCCUUCCUACUCAACUUUCUCUUAUCUUGCUUUCCUGUGAAUUGAGUUAUGGGCCUGCUGUUCUGUGUGUCUAAAGACAAUAUCCCCUUCUCUAAACGUAACACUGGAUAUAAUGCAGGCCCAUAACUCAAUUCACAGGAAAGCAAGAUAAGAGAAAGUUGAGUAGGAAGGCGGAGUCAGCGAGCGAGACAGAUGCUGAGGAGGAGGUGAAACCGUUCAAGGCAAGGGCAGUGAGAGAGUAUGGGAGAUACGAGGAGAGGAGGCGACUAGGAGAUAAUAAACAGGAUGAGAUUACAGGGGCCAAAAAGAAAAAAUCAGGCCGUACUAAAGGCAGGUUAGGUGAGGACUCAAGGUCGGGAUCGGACGAUAGUGACACAGUGAGAAGGACAAAAUCUAGGCAGAAAAAAGGAAAUUCACAUAAAGG